Molecule: non-coding RNA, 125 nt
Organism: Brachypodium distachyon (stiff brome)
Lineage: Eukaryota; Viridiplantae; Streptophyta; Magnoliopsida; Poales; Poaceae
Source: Rfam
AAUAUACUCCCUCCGUCCCAUAUUAAGUGACUCAAAUUUGUCCAAAUAUGAAUGUAUCUAUGCUUAAAAAUCAUCUAGAUACAUGUAAUAGAAAGUCACUUAAUAUGGGAUGGAGGGAGUAGUAG